CUCAAUUUUCUCUCUUCCGGUCUUCUCUUUCUUCUACAAUCCUUCAAGGUCUCACUGGUUAUACAAGAUUUGAUCAAAAUCAAAGAUCUGUGAACAUUGAUUGUAGUUUUUCAUGAUGAACCGUAAAUUUUAUGUCACUAUCGGACUGGGAUGCUUUGUGAAUCAAUC
Molecule: long non-coding RNA, 168 nt
Organism: Helianthus annuus (common sunflower)
Lineage: Eukaryota; Viridiplantae; Streptophyta; Magnoliopsida; Asterales; Asteraceae
Exons: 3
Source: RefSeq, a predicted model, not a curated record